This 879-nucleotide ribosomal RNA is filed under the name Thermococcus sp. 9N3. RNAcentral describes it as "bacterial SSU rRNA". It matches the Rfam family "Archaeal small subunit ribosomal RNA", at positions 616 to 1478 of the family's 1478-position model. The record is from RNAcentral. Lineage: Archaea; Methanobacteriati; Methanobacteriota; Thermococci; Thermococcales; Thermococcaceae.
UACCCCUGGGGUAGGGGUGAAAUCCUAUAAUCCCAGGGGGACCGCCAGUGGCGAAGGCGCCCGGCUGGAACGGGUCCGACGGUGAGGGACGAAGGCCAGGGGAGCGAACCGGAUUAGAUACCCGGGUAGUCCUGGCUGUAAAGGAUGCGGGCUAGGUGUCGGGCGAGCUUCGAGCUCGCCCGGUGCCGGAGGGAAGCCGUUAAGCCCGCCGCCUGGGGAGUACGGCCGCAAGGCUGAAACUUAAAGGAAUUGGCGGGGGAGCACUACAAGGGGUGGAGCGUGCGGUUUAAUUGGAUUCAACGCCGGGAACCUCACCGGGGGCGACGGCAGGAUGAAGGCCAGGCUGAAGGUCUUGCCGGACGCGCCGAGAGGAGGUGCAUGGCCGCCGUCAGCUCGUACCGUGAGGCGUCCACUUAAGUGUGGUAACGAGCGAGACCCGCGCCCCCAGUUGCCAGUCCUCCCCGCUGGGGAGGAGGCACUCUGGGGGGACCGCCGGCGAUAAGCCGGAGGAAGGAGCGGGCGACGGUAGGUCAGUAUGCCCCGAAACCCCCGGGCUACACGCGCGCUACAAUGGGCGGGACAAUGGGAACCGACCCCGAAAGGGGAAGGGAAUCCCCUAAACCCGCCCUCAGUUCGGAUCGCGGGCUGCAACUCGCCCGCGUGAAGCUGGAAUCCCUAGUACCCGCGUGUCAUCAUCGCGCGGCGAAUACGUCCCUGCUCCUUGCACACACCGCCCGUCACUCCACCCGAGCGGGGUCCGGGUGAGGCCUGGUCUCCCUUCGGGGAGGCCGGGUCGAGCCUGGGCUCCGUGAGGGGGGAGAAGUCGUAACAAGGUAGCCGUAGGGGAACCUACGGCUCGAUCACCUCCUAUCGCCGGAA